AAGUCGUAACAAGGUUUCCGUAGGUGAACCUGCGGAAGGAUCAUUAUCGAGUUUUGAACGGGUUGUAGCUGGCCUCUCACGAGGCAUGUGCACGCCUGGCUCAUCCACUCUUAACCUCUGUGCACUUUAUGUAAGAGAAAAAAAUGGUGGAAGCUUCCAGGAUCUCGCGAGAGGUCUUCGGUUGAAUAAGCCGUUUUUCUUUCUUAUGUUUUACUACAAACGCUUCAGUUAUAGAAUGUCAACUGUGUAUAACACAUUUAUAUACAACUUUCAGCAACGGAUCUCUUGGCUCUC
This 294-nucleotide unclassified non-coding RNA is filed under the name Irpex hydnoides. RNAcentral describes it as "partial internal transcribed spacer region". The stretch from base 1 to 46 matches the Rfam family "Eukaryotic small subunit ribosomal RNA", at positions 1786 to 1831 of the family's 1831-position model. The record is from RNAcentral. Lineage: Eukaryota; Fungi; Basidiomycota; Agaricomycetes; Polyporales; Irpicaceae.